GGUCACGUAGCUCAGUAGGACAGAGCACGAGCCUUCUAAGCUUGUGGUCAGAGGUUCGAAUCCUCUCGUGAUCG
RNAcentral lists this transfer RNA (74 nucleotides) under Mesomycoplasma bovoculi M165/69. RNAcentral's name for it is "Mycoplasma bovoculi M165/69 tRNA". It matches the Rfam family "tRNA". From Rfam's summary of the family: Transfer RNA (tRNA) molecules are approximately 80 nucleotides in length. Their secondary structure includes four short double-helical elements and three loops (D, anti-codon, and T loops). The record is from Rfam by way of RNAcentral. Lineage: Bacteria; Bacillati; Mycoplasmatota; Mycoplasmoidales; Metamycoplasmataceae.